AACGCACCUUGCGCUCCUUGGUAUUCCGAGGAGCAUGCCCGUUUGAGUGUCGUGAUAUCAUCAGGCGCCCUCUUCUUCCGGAGGCUGGCGCUUGGAUUUGGAUGUGCUGCCGGGCGGCGACGCUCGGCUCGUCCUAAAUGUAUUAGCGAGACCCCUGUGGCCUUUGGACUUUGGCUCUCACUCGGCGUGAUAAGAUCACCCGUCGAGAUGUCGUCCUGGCCGACUAGGAAGGCUUGCUUCCAACCGUCCCUUGCGGACAACUUUGACAAUCUGACCUCAAAUCGGGUAGGACUACCCGCUGAACUUAA
Molecule: ribosomal RNA, 308 nt
Filed under: uncultured fungus
Lineage: Eukaryota; Fungi
Description: eukaryotic LSU rRNA
Source: RNAcentral